UGAGUCGGCCGGACGGCCGCGUCGGGCGCCCUUCGGGGACCGCCCGCCGAGGAAAGUCCGGGCUCCUCAGAGCAGGGUGGUGGGUAACGCCCACCCGGGGCGACCCGCGGGCAAGUGCCACAGAAAGCAAACCGCCCCGUCCUGGCCCUUUGGGGGCGAAAGGCGGGGUAAGGGUGAAACGGUGGUGUAAGAGACCACCAGCGCCCAGGGAGACCUGGGCGGCUAGGUAAACCCCACCCGGAGCAAGGCCAGACAGGCGGCGUUCGAGGGUUGCUCGCCCGAGCCGCCGGGUGGGCCGCUGGAGGCCCGUGGCGACACGGGUCCUAGAUGGAUGGCCGUCUUCAAUGACAGAACCCGGCUUACAGGCCGGCUCAUCCG
RNAcentral lists this RNase P RNA (378 nucleotides) under Bifidobacteriaceae bacterium. Its description in RNAcentral is "RNase P RNA component class A". It matches the Rfam family "Bacterial RNase P class A". From Rfam's summary of the family: Ribonuclease P (RNase P) is a ubiquitous endoribonuclease, found in archaea, bacteria and eukarya as well as chloroplasts and mitochondria. Lineage: Bacteria; Bacillati; Actinomycetota; Actinomycetes; Bifidobacteriales; Bifidobacteriaceae. The record is from RNAcentral.